Molecule: long non-coding RNA, 946 nt
Filed under: Sorghum bicolor (sorghum)
Lineage: Eukaryota; Viridiplantae; Streptophyta; Magnoliopsida; Poales; Poaceae
Description: long non-coding RNA (SBIC_LNC018661)
Source: RNAcentral
CUCUUGUGUUCCCAUCUUCUAAUUGAAUAUCGCCAGUCGAAUGCGUCUCCUCCUCGGCUCCUGUGGCACCACCACUCACGAUCCUUAAAACCCGCGGGCGACACCCCUUCACCUCCUCCCCCGUGCAGUAUAGUAUAUUCCAGAAUACUGUGUUUGCUAAGGAAUCGGUGUAUCUCAGAAAUUGGGGGUGUGAACCCAGAUAGCUGGUGUUGUUUCCUAGAAUGGCAGAGCUCGUGGGCGGAGAGGCAGCAUGGCGACGGCGGUUUAGCGGGGCUAGGGAUUUGGAGAAAUGUGGGGAAUAGAUGAGUGGCCGAGGGGGUGACGAGGGAGUGGGGUUAAUGGGUACAGUAGCGGUGUUUGUGGCGCCUAUUUUUUUCGGGAUGAGGCAGGGAAAAUUUUGGCGCCCUAAUCUAAUGUCUUUCGGGUAGCCUUGAAAGUAUAAGUAAUACAGCGCACAAUAACUAACAAAAUCACUUUACUAGUUCAUUGGUAAGACACUAUGUGGCACUCCAUAAGUUCCCAGGUUCGAACCCAUUGGAGACAAAUUUUUUUUCUCUUUUGCAACAUUUUUUUUCUAUUUCUCGAAGCUAAUUUUUUCAUGAUAAUUAAUUAAUUAGUACUAGCUACACAAAUUUUCAAAUAUUCAUGGACACUAUUUUGGUGUAUGAUCAUGACAUAAAAUUUUCAGAGAAUUUUGACAAGGUUGUACUACACAUCUUGUACAACCAUGAACAUCUCUCACGAAGUGACAAGGCUAUAUCUGAGACACAUGUAUCUCAUAGCGAGGAUGUGCAUGAGCACGCAAUGAUAAUUAGUUGAUUCUUUUUUGUCAAUAUUAUACACCAAAGUGAGGCGUCCAUGCAAGUUUGUAGAAUUUUUUAGCUAGACUAGGUUAUUUUAACAUUUAUCUUGCACAAAUCUAACAAAAAAUUAUACAAAUAGGCAA